CUCACCCUCUCUUGCUCUUUCCGCCUAUAUACCGCCGUCGUCAGCUUACCCUGUGAAGGGCCAAUAGUGAGCAUAAUCGGCACAGCCCAGUACGUCAGGUCGAGGUGUAGUGUAUGAGGGGGGAAGAGAUGGGCUACAUUUACUAACAAUAGUAAAUACGAAUACUGCAUUGAAACAUGCAGCUGAAGGUGGAUUUAGUAGUAAGCCGGAAACAGAGUGUCCUGCUGAAAUUGGCUCUAAAGCGCGUACAUACCGCCCGUCACCCUCUCUAAGUUCUACAGAAACAUUAUACCCAAUAAGCCUUCGCUUGCAGAAGGGAGGAAAGUCGUAACAUGGUAAGCGUACCGGAAGGUGUGCUUGGUAUAAAU
Molecule: ribosomal RNA, 368 nt
Filed under: Sphyraena putnamae (sawtooth barracuda)
Lineage: Eukaryota; Metazoa; Chordata; Actinopteri; Sphyraenidae
Description: partial 12S ribosomal RNA
Rfam family: Bacterial small subunit ribosomal RNA
Source: RNAcentral